AUACAAAUCACUUGGGAAUCUUUUUAAGAUGCAGAUUCUGGUUAGUAGGUCUGGGGUAGAGCCUGAGAAUUUGCAGGUCAGAAGUGCUCCCACGUGAUGCCAAU
RNAcentral lists this microRNA precursor (104 nucleotides) under Marmota monax (woodchuck). Lineage: Eukaryota; Metazoa; Chordata; Mammalia; Rodentia; Sciuridae. The record is from RNAcentral.